RNAcentral lists this ribosomal RNA (485 nucleotides) under uncultured bacterium. Its description in RNAcentral is "bacterial SSU rRNA". It matches the Rfam family "Bacterial small subunit ribosomal RNA", at positions 30 to 507 of the family's 1533-position model. The record is from RNAcentral.
AUUGAACGCUGGCGGCAUGCCUUACACAUGCAAGUCGAACGGCAAGCACGGGAGCAAUCCUGGUGGCGAGUGGCGAACGGGUGAGUAAUAUAUCGGAACGCGCCCAGUCGUGGGGGAUAACGUAGCGAAAGCUACGCUAAUACCGCAUACGAUCUACGGAUGAAAGCGGGGGAUCGCAAGACCUCGCGCGAUUGGAGCGGCCGAUAUCAGAUUAGCUAGUUGGUGGGGUAAAAGCUCACCAAGGCGACGAUCUGUAGCUGGUCUGAGAGGACGACCAGCCACACUGGAACUGAGACACGGUCCAGACUCCUACGGGAGGCAGCAGUGGGGAAUUUUGGACAAUGGGCGCAAGCCUGAUCCAGCAAUGCCGCGUGCAGGAUGAAGGCCUUCGGGUUGUAAACUGCUUUUGUACGGAACGAAACGGUGAGCUCUAAUAAAGCUUGCUAAUGACGGUACCGUAAGAAUAAGCACCGGCUAACUACGUG